GUACUUUUUAAUGUUCUGUGAUUGUUAUAGAGUUCAAAUUUUUAAAGUUACUUAUAAAUCUAUUUGUUUUUAGAUGUUUUUAAGCUUCUGGAUCAUACUUUUAAAAUACCUCACUCUAUUGAUGCCAACAUCUGAAGCCUUACAACAGCAUACCUUUCAAUAAUAUCUCACUCAAUAUUACAUCAUGUGUAAAAAUGCGCAUUUGAAUACAAUUAAAAUGUGUCAUUUCUCAGAAAAAUUUAAAAGUGCUUAUUUAAAUUUUUCUAAAAAUGGCAUGUAAUUUAUUAAUGCUUUGAUUCAGACAUUGAAGAUUUGUUAUCAAAACAACAUUUAAAGUUUAAAAAUCAAUCAUCUUCAACAAUUACAACACAAACUAAUUUUCGUGGUUUUAAAGACUAUAUCAAUUUGAUCCUGUAUAUUUGUACAAAGAUAUCAUGAGUGUUUGUUCCAGCAAUAAAGUCAUAUAUGAAAGAUUUAAAAAGCUUCAUCAACUUACAACAACAGACUCUAGAUUCCAAUAUUAGACUAAAUUUAGACCUAAAAGGUUGUGACAAAACCCUGAAGAU
Molecule: non-coding RNA, 566 nt
Organism: Hydra vulgaris (swiftwater hydra)
Lineage: Eukaryota; Metazoa; Cnidaria; Hydrozoa; Anthoathecata; Hydridae
Source: RefSeq, a predicted model, not a curated record